RNAcentral lists this long non-coding RNA (13528 nucleotides) under Mytilus galloprovincialis (Mediterranean mussel). The record is from RNAcentral. Lineage: Eukaryota; Metazoa; Mollusca; Bivalvia; Mytilida; Mytilidae.
GCGGCCAUUUGUAAACAAGUGCUUGCCAACAAUUUUCGAAAAUUUUCAUAAAAUUGAUUCAUAUUAUGGUAAGUUUGAUGUUUGUGACCUUAAACUACACGAAGAACAUAUAAACGGAUCUCCUGUUGUUGGUGAUCGCAAUACUGGUAUACCAGUAUUGUCGACAAUACAGGUAUAAAAAUAUUGUAAUGUACCAGCUAUAUUUUAACUUUAAAAAACCCCAAAAAAACCACAAUACUGAGGGGGGAUAGGACCCUUAUCAGGACUCUGGGAUCGGGUGUUUUUAAGCUCGGGAUUUCGGGAUCCGGGAAUUCUUUUUUCGAAUUUCGGGACCUCGGGAUUUCGUUUUUUAUAAGCCCGGGAUUUCGGGAUUUCGAUUUUUUAAACUCGGGAUUUCGGGAUCAGGACCCCUCCUACCCUCCCUCAAUAAUUGUUACAUUACUUAUCUACCAGUAUUGUAGUUGUAUUGUUGACUGUACUUUAAGGUGUACAUGUAUAUUAAUGAAAAAUGAAUUUUAAGCAAAAUAUGAUCAUGAUGAUAUUGAAGUUCAAAGGUAUAUUUAGUCCAAAUAAUUAUGACGUCUUGAAAGGCUCUUAUAUUUUUUUUCUUUGACGCCUUACAUAGAAGUAAGGCGUCAAAGAAAACAUCCAAUUAACACCUUCAACUUUGUACUCGCGUCAGACUAUAUAAUUACACGCGCCAUAAUAUACAAUCUUUGUAAAUAGUGAACACCUGACAGGCUGUUGAAAACUCAAGAUUGUCAUUGUCAUUAAUUCCCUUUAAUCUUCAAUCGAUAUGCAUAAACAUGAUAAAUAUCAUAAAAUGAGGCAAUACACAAAGUAAAAUGAUUUCACAAUUUGUUUCUGUAUUUCUGGACAAUGAUGCACAAAUAAUGCAUUUUGCAAGUUUAUUUAUAUAUGUACAAAGAGAGUUUUAAAAACAAUUUAUAAGAUAAAUACAUGAAAUUCAUUGUAUAUUAUGUUCUAAAACACAAGUAAAAGUAAUAGGAUACAUGUCAACUGGUACUUUCCGCAACUCGUACUCAACCAACUUGUACCCUAUUUUUACCAACUCGUACUUCUACUAAGUCGUACCCAAUAUUUUUUGACAUUAUAAUAUACAAAUAUAGCAUUUGUAUGAGGUCGAUACAAGGAUUAAAUUGUCUCCGUGACAAUAACAACAUAUUCAUGAUAUUAGUUGUUAUUUCUUAACUUUAUUUUUGGACAUCUUAUGUAUUUGAAGAUUUUUUUCGUCAAAUCAUCGAUCACAGAUAUCAUUUGUUUCAAAACGUUAAACAAUAUCCUGAAAUUCCUUACAUGACGUCACAAAGUGUAUCGGUUUUUAGAUAUUCUAAAAAUAACCGUGCAAUAUGCUUUUUGCCGGUCAAUAUGCUUUUUGCUAUCCGCCGUUUUCUCUCUACCUUCGAAAAUAUAGUUUAACAUGUGACUAUCCCUAAACAAUCAAAUUUGUUAAAAUAUACGAAUUAAUAAUAUUAUAAGUUACCGACGUUCAUAUUCGUAGAUAUGGAUAUUUUAACACCCUGAAGUAGAUCUAGAUCCAUAGAAUAUUUGAAAAGGAUAUUUUGUACUGAAUAUUGCGAUGGACAUGUCGUUGUUUUCCCGUGAUAGAAGAAACUGUUUUUCCAUUAUAAUGCUUCAUAUUUUAUUAUUUUCUAGCUGUUCUACUGAUAGGAUUUAUAUCUAAAAAAAUCCUCAAGUGUUUCGCUCGAUCCAUAGAAUAUUUGAAGAGAUUUUUUACUGAAUACUGUGAUAGACACGUGUUUGUUGAUGUGUUAAUAUUUGUGUUAUAUAAAUAUGGCAGUCAGUUCGUUUUCUCGUUUGAAUUGUUUUACAUUGUCAUUUCGGGGCCUUUUAUAGCUGACUGUAUGUGGUAUGGGUGGGCUUUGCUCAUUGUUGAAAACCGUACGAUUACAUAUAGCUUUUAAUUUCUGUGUCAUUUUGUCUCUUUUGUCUCUUCAGUGAGGAUGGUGAUUGUUUAACCCUUUCCUCCAUAAUGACGCCUUUUGACGCCACCCCCUUUACUCCAUAAUGACGCCUUUUGACGCCUGUGUAGUACCUCAGUUGAAACGCUAUGUCUCCAAAAUGUCUGCAUCAAACUUAAAAAAAAUUGUAUCCAAUAUGAAAAGGAGAUUCAUGAGAAUAUCUGACUUGAAUUUCAUUGAUGAAAUAUUAGUUUUCACAAUGCAUUAACACUUUAAACCUGAUGAUUUUUUUUACUGAAAAAAAUCCUAUGCGAAUCAAGUAUUCAAAAAAAAAAUAUCCAUGGAGUAAAGGGUUAAGUAUAACUCAACGGCCUUUGAUGUUCAUAGUGCGCACUUAUACCGAAUUUUUGUUUUCUUUUACUUCUCUAUGUUUAUUCUACUUUUAACAAAUCCAUUCUUUUUUUGUAGGUAUGUUAUACACUAAUGACCACUGAUUAGUAUAUUGUGUACUCAUAAUUAUUUUAAUGUGCAUAUCAAAUAAAUUGCCGUCCAAACAAUUUCAAACAAUCAAUUCUAAGGAAUACUAAUGAUUAUAAUGAUUUGCAUUUGGUAAGCUUUGAUAUAUAUAUUUAAAACAAUUAUGAUUGCAUUUUAUUAACAAUAAAAGUUUUUUUUAUUUAUAUGUUGCUAUAAUGAUAUACGAAAGAAAAUUACAACAACUAUGCAUAUAAAUAAUAUCAAAUAAAGCAAGGGUACGAGUUGGUAAAAAUAGGGUACGAGUUAGUUGAGUAUGAGUUGCCGAAAGUACGAGUUGUCGUGUACACAUAAUAUCAUAAUAUGUAACAACAGGGUAAAUGUAAUACUUGCUGUUAUACAUAAUAAAUAAUAAAAUAUCAUGUAAAUAAACAUGAUAAAUGUAGCAAUUAGAUCUAUCAUUGUCUAUGUUUCAAUUUUUUUUCUAUCAAUAUUAACUUUCUUGUCACUAAAAUUGUUUUCUUUUGUAUAUUCUUUUAAUAUUAGUUUGGAAUAAGUUAUUUUAAUAAAAAAAAUAUUUUCUUGUCGCUAAAUAGUUUCUUGACGCUUCUUGUCGCUAAAAUUCUUCUUGUCACUAAUUAGUAAGGCCAGUGAAAUCAAUUAACAACCAGUUAAAAUUAAUUACUAGUCACUUGUACAAAAAAAACAAAAGAUUAUAGUAAUUACAUGUAUCUCACAUUAUUCAAACAAUUCAUAUAAAUAAUUGCUAAUAAUUUUAUCACAUUUCUAUAUUUUAUUUGAUUCAACUGAGAUAAAAUAAAAGGAAAUAAAAGCUUAAUUUGAUUUUUAUUAUCUGAGUUAUUAUUAAUUCUAAUAAAUUCAAGCAAAUUAUUACACUAUAUCGCUGUCAAUUCAGCAUUUUCAUACAUGUACAUGGUAUAGAUGUACUAAGAUCAUAUCGUCGCUGGGCUUCUAAAAUGUUGUAAAUUACAAAUUUUUCAAGAAAAAAAUUUCUCACAAACAUGCAGGCUUUGAAAAUUUUGGCAAAAUGCAUGCUUCCAAAAUGUCGUAUGUGAACUUGAACAUUUUUGUAAAUAGCAGUGAAAUAAAAACGUUGACAUCUCUGGAUUAUCCAAGAACUUAAAUUAUUUUCACAGAAAUAAAGAAAUGUACAAUUAUUUUUUUUCCAAAGCCAUUCUACAACGAUUUUCAAGUUUUCAUACCACAUUUUGGAAGCAAACUUUACAAACAACUGACAUUGGCAAUUUUGUAAUAUGUCUUAUUUCACACAUUUUGAUUGGUCUAACUGUGUGCUAUUUUGUGAUACCAAAGAUUUCUUCCCGCCCAGACCAUUGGUGUCAAAAAGUAUUUUUAGCCUAAAAAGUCAUAUACAACAUUUUAGAAGCCCAGCGACGAUAUGCAUUUGUUGGUCUUUAUUUUCUUAUUAAUCUUUUUCAAUAAACAUGAUAAAAGAUAUCAAUAUCUAUUUAACAUAAAAAGAUGCUUAAUAGAGAAACCUGUGCAGAUUACAUGUAUAAUCAAAUUAACUAGUUCGUCUACAUAAAUGUUAGGGUAGUUAAAGCAGUUGAUUCAGACCAUGGGCAAUACAAUUUGUAGCAGAUAUAUAUCUACUGGUACAAAUUCUCAAAUACUAAUACAUGUAUUAGACAAGUACUCCUACAGUAAGAGAGCCAUACAGGUGCUAUCUAAACAAGCUUGUUACUUGUAAUUUAGUAGCGUAAGAGAAAGUCCACAGACUGAAUAUCUAAACAUCAAUAUAGGAAGUGGGGGUUAAAGAAAUGCGAUCUGAAGAAGAAAUAAACAAUACACAUGAUACAAAUGCUGAUGAUACAGAAGCUAUAUCAGCAUAAAUGUCAAAAUAAAAUUCCCUAAAAUACACUAUUGAGUCUUGGAAAGAGAGAGCUGGAAGAAAACAUAGAAGAAUGUAAAGAGUUUGUUAAAAUGCUGAGACAGUACGGUUCCCUUUUUAAAAGAAAAAAAAAUCAGAAGAUUUUGAUUACAAUUGAUAUCACAGUGUACCAUAAAUGGCAUCAUCAGUUAAACAUACAAUAAUUCCAUAUAAAAUUGUCAUGUCAUAUGUUAAUAUCAUUAUGCAUAUAUAUAUAUAUGUUGUGUACAUUAGAUGUAAUUUUGUACAAAUUAUAAUUUGUACAGGGUUUUUGUACAAGUUAUAAGUAUUUUUACAUCUACCUUCUUGCAACAAGUGAUAAAAGUUUAUCUUUCAAAAUAUAUCAGUUUACUGUCUUAAAUUCAAAUUUAUAUACUCCAACUUAACAUUUAGUGCUAUUCUCAUUGUCCUUAAACUGGAAAUGAGGAUAACCGAAUGGUUUAAAUUCUAAUUUUAUUUUUCUCCUUAUACCAAAAUCAUAUCCAUAAAAAGUCUGUUUGUGUUCUUAUAAUGUUUUUUUGCAUCGAUGCUCAGUAUAGACUGUAUCAUGUAGUUGUGGAAAAUUCACAAAAAUAAGCAAAACAAAAGACUGUGUACUUGCAUCAUACAGUUGUGUUGAGCGCUUCAUGAAACACUAAUAACUUGAACAAAAAAAUCUGUACAAAUUAUAAUUUGUACAACAUUACAACUUGUACACAACAUAUAUAUAUAUGUGACCCUGUAAUAAAAGAUUAAUUACCUAUAUAUAUAUAUGUUGUGUACAAGUUAUCAUUUUGUACAAAUUAUAAUUUGUACAAAAAGAAUGUACAAAUUAUAAUUUGUAUUUUGACUUUGUACAAAUUGUAAUUUGUACAAAAAGUGCCUGUACAAAUUACAAUUUGUACAAAAAUCGACUAAAAUUCACUUAUAACUUGUACAAUAAUUUAUAGUAUGGAUUGUGGUAUAAAAAAAUAAUUGAUACACACUAUAGAACCUUAUAAACCUUAUUUACAAAAUGCAAAAACACCCAGAGACAGCAAAUGUAAUUGGUACAUGCAUGCCAGUUAAUUAUUAUAGCCGAAUAGAAAUUGGCCCCUGUGACAAUUCUGAUAGAAUAAUAGAAAAUGGCCUCAUUGAAAAUUCUGAUAGUAUAAUAGAAAUUGGCCCCACUCAGAAUUCUGAUAGUAUUUUUGAAAUUGGCCUCAGAGAAAAUUCUGAUAAUAUAAUAGAAAUUGGCCUCGCUAAGAACUCUGAUAGUAUAAUAGAAAUUAGCCACAUUGAAAAUUCAGAUAGUAUAAUAAAAAUUUGCCUCUGACAGAGAAAAUUCUGAUAGUAUAAUAGAAAUUGGCCCCAGUGAAAAUUCUAAUGGUAUAAUAGAAAUUGGCCUCUGUGAAUAUUCUGACAAAAUAAUAAAAAUUGGCCUUAGUGACAAUUCUGAUAUCUGCCCCAGUGACAAUUUUGAUAGUAUCAUAGGAACACACCAUCGUUGAAAAACAAAUCAUAUGUGCCAGGAACCGUGCGCUGUCUGACUAACAGAUCCAAGACGAAUCACCAUGAAAACGAAACAGAAAUUAUAAGAACUUGCUAUUGGGUAUAAUGUCAGUAUGAUCGUACAACUAAUCCUCGAUAUAUUUGUCUAAUAAUUGCAUCUGGAGAAUUUUGGUACAGUAUUUGAACUGCUGUAGGAAUUUUUUUCACAGCAACAUUUGUGCACUUCCAUAUUCGCUAUAAAAGCAGGAAAGGAUUUUUUUUUAUUUUGGGGGCAUAUACGAAUGUGAAAAGCAAAUGAUUCUGUGUUAUUCCCAUUGCCAUAAUUCACUCACAUACUCAAACAAAUGAUUCAGAAAUAUUUCUGUAUUUUGUUAAUAUUAAAGGUUGAUUGUGUGGUCAUGGAAUACAACUUCUUUAGUGUGUAUCAAUGCUUUUAUAUAACAAGGUCCAUACCAUAAAUUAUUGUACAAGUUAUAAGUGAAUUUAAGUCAAAUUUUGUACAAAUUAUAAUUUGUACAAGCACUUUUUGUACAAAUUACAAUUUGUACAAAGUCAAAAUACAAAUUAUAAUUUGUACAAUAUUUUUGUACAAAUUAUAAUUUGUACAAAAUGAUAACUUGUACACAACAUAUAUAUGACUUUUGUAUUGUUUAUUUAAAAAAAAGACACUACCAGUAUUGUGCACAAUACUACAAUGUAGUAUAUAUGUACCAGUAUUGUGAUCUCCAACUGCAGUAUAUAUAGUAAAAUGAUGUGUUACAAAAAUAUUAUUAUAUUUAUGCAUUAAAUUCAGUUAAAUUGCAAUUGUAUACAACUUACAACAUGUACAAUAUGUAUUGAUAUUAUCAUGAUUAUAGUCAUGAUAGUUGCCAGUUAAGGUUUAUGUACCCUUCUGUAGCCAUUUUUGUACGAACUUUUCAAACUUCAAUUGUAUCAAAACUACAGAUAUAAUGAAUAAUAGUAUAGGCCAUUUUGUACAUAUUCCAAGGGGAAACUUGAUGCAAAGCAUUAUUUUUUACUGUUCCAUUGCAUUUAAUAAAAAAAGAGGACUUUGUGGCAAAUAAAUCAAGAUUUUUAUAGAAUAUCCACAGCCUUUAUCCUUGUACUCUCAUAUUUGGCAAUUUGAUGACUGAUAUAUAUAGGAUUAUUGCAUGCAGUGCUAGCAUUGAUUUCCUUAAAACAAGUUUAUAAAUGUAGUUAUUGGUUAAGACAAGUAUAAAUAUGGCCAAAAUCAAGUACACCUUUUAGGGUGCGCUCGACUUUAGUGACUCAGCACGAGGUGUUUUUGGAAUUUACAGGUUACUUAGAACUUUUUGUAAAAAAUAAACACUAGCACAUCAUAGAAAAUCAAGUGAGUAAUUUAUGUUUCAAAUUAUAUAACAAAAAUCUCUGUAUUAAAGGCUGUGGAUUUUCUAUAAAAUUCUUGAUUUAUUUGCCACAAAGUCCUCUUUUUCUAUCAAAUGCAAUGAAACAGUAAAAAAUAAUGCUUUACAUCAAGUUUCCCCUUGGAACAUGUACUAAAUGGCCUAUCUCUAUUAUUUAUUAUAUCUUUAGUUUUGAUGCAAUUGAGGUUUGAAAAAUUCGUACAAAAAUGGCUACAGAAGGGUACAUAAACCUUAAUGAAUAUUUUAUGUAUGAUAACACAAUACAUAAUACUUUGAAUUGAGCCUUUACCAAUAGACUAUUUUCACAUAAUUGACGUUUGACUCUGGUUUAUAUUAUUUUUAGACGGGUCACAUUUCAUGUGUGUGAUUUAAAGGGAAAUUUUACUAUUUUUCGCUGAGUUUGUCGUGUAAAGAAAAUAUGAAGCAGUAUAUUUUCCCAGAAGAAUUGUACUAAUUAAAUGUUUGAUUUUAGUUCUUUACGUUGCUUUUAAUUGACAGAGUACUAAGAUGUGGUAGGUAACCUGUUGAAAAAUAUUAUAAACCAGAAUCAAAAGUAGGUACAUGUAAUAUGAAAAUAAUAUAUUGUUAUAAUUGUGUUUGUACUAAUAUUUUUUUCUAUUUUAUGUUAAUUCGUUAGAUUUAAUUUUUUCAGUGUAAACAUCUAAAGAGCUAUUAGCAGAAAUGUGGCAAUAUUUUUGGCCCCACUUUGUUUACCAUCUAAUGAGAUGGUUUCCAAGAGACAACAGAAAGAAAAUGUAAGUGGCACAACUAGUAUAUUACAUGUACAUGUAUAUUGAAAAUGUGCUAUCAGUAUCUUUGUUGCAAUCAUGGUAAUAGAAAGUGUUGUGCGCAGCACAGAACAUUGAAGUAUUAAAAAUUAAUUUGUCUAAUAUACAUGCAUGUAGAUUUAAGGAUUGUAGUUGACAGUAAUUAAACAUGGUAAACAAAUAAGAAAAACAUAUUACAAAUACAUUUUACUAUGAUUAUUUGAAUUAUUAUGCUAUUCUAAUGUUUUUAUAGUCAGAAAAUUAAUGUAGACAAUUCAUGUAUUCAUAAUUUAUAGUUUUAGACAAAUUUUAAAAUGACCAUCUCAUUUCAAAUCAUAAUCAUUUAUUCAUUGUGACAGACAUGCAGAUUUGAAUUGUAGUACAUAUAUAUAUAUAUAUAUAUAUCAUGUACUGUAGUACGCCGCUAGAUUAAAACUGAUGAGGAAAGGUAACACACGGCCAGCGAAAGCUCUUUUUUUGAGAGCCCAGGUGGUUGUGUGGUCUAGCGGGACGGCUGCAGUGCAGGCGAUUUGGUGUCACGAUAUCAUAGUAGCCUGGGUUCGAAUCCCGGCGAGGGAAGAACCAAAAAUUUGCGAAAGCAAAUUUACAGAUCUAACAUUGUUGGGUUGAUGUUUAGACGAGUUAUAUAUAUAUAAUAUAUAUAUAUAUUCAUAAACAUCAUAAAUCAUCUUUAGUGAAAGCCUACUCUUGAUAAAUCAUUAAAGAAUUGAUUUCUUCCUAAAACUUGUUGACAUGUUGAAGUUUUGAUUUUUUAAAUUCUGAUUUGUAAUAUUUUUGUUCCAGAUUUAUAUUGUUGGCCAUCUUUUCCUUGGCCUUACUGGUACCCCAGUUUUAUGUACUGGUUCUUAAGAAGACAACAAGAUGGUGUAUCCAGCCUUUGUUUCAACUUCUCAUUGUAUCCAUAGUCUUCACAAUGAUUGCAAUAGGUGAGGUUAUAUAUGUAUUACAAAAUCUUUUACAAGCAGUUCAACGUCCUAAAUAAUGGUUUUAUGAUAGCUAGUCAGUUGUUUGUGUAUAAUUAAGGAAUAACAGUACUGUAGUUGAAGAGUUGCCACCGUCAAUUGUAGAUUUGACGGUCGCAAAUGCAGUUUUACUGGCGACGCGUAGAAAGAAGAGGGAAUGCAUGGAACUAUCAGAUAUUUAUAAUCUAAAUAAAAAACAAAGGAUGGUGUUUCCAUUCACAACUCAAAAUCAUGCUCAGCAAAAAAAACCACAAAAAGCAGAGAAACAGGGCUUUUGCUGUUCUUCAUCUCAAAGUCACAGUGAGGCCUUCAAUUAAAACAGAGCAAUACAUCCUCUAGCUUCAGGAUGAGUGGAAUAGGAGUAUGAAUUUAAGAACUUGACUAAAGUUUUUCUAAUAGCAGUUCACUUUGUUUGAAAUGUAUUGACAAUAAAUAAAACUUUGAUUUGAUGUUUUUGUCAUUGAUAAAGCUGUUCAGCAUCUUGGAGGAAAUGUAUCAAUUAUAAUCAGCAAUACAUAAUGUUGACGUUCGUUUCAGGUUUCACGUUACUGUUCAUGUUGAUGAACCCAGUACCAAGACUGAUCAAAUUUGUCUUCCAUGUUUUUGGCGUUAUUUGUUUCAUAGAAGGUUUGGUACAUAUUGGACUGACAUCACAAGCUGCAGAAUGUGUAAGUCUUUUUAAGAAAGUUUUUUUUAGGAAUUUCUUUAUUAUAAAUAUUUAUAUACCGUUUUUUAGUUAUUCUCCAUUGUCAUUGAAGAUAAUAAAAUUUUGAAAUUUUCCACUUUGUUUUAUUUUCUAUUCAUAAAGGUUAGCAUCAUGUAUGAAUUUUAUGUUGCUUGAUCAUUUCAAUCUUUUAAUGAUUCAUUUCAAAAUGGAUUUUCAUCUUUUUAUUUAUUAGAGCCAAGAAAUUGCAUUUCUAAACUAUCCAAAUGUUCUGAUAAGAGAAGUAGUUUCACAAGUUUUUAUUUAUUUCUAUUUGACCUUCUUUAAUAAUCACAUUAAUUUUACACCGUAACUUUUAUGCAAUUUUCAGUGUUUAUCAAUUUUUAGACUCCCGUAAAGUGUGGUUGAAAAAAAAAUGCUUUUCAUGAAAACUAUAAAUAGUUUUAAAAUAUAUGUGUUUAAGUAGAAGAAAGAAAGAAACCAGCUUUAUUAAAGAAUUGGAUGCUCAAUUUUAAGUAAAUUCAUUGGGUUGUAAAAGCAUUGACCAAAAGUACUAAAAAUGUCUGCACUGUCAAUGCUUUUACAACCCUAUGAAAUUACUAAAAGAAGCAUUCAAUACUUAUAAUUACAUAUUUCGCUAUGAUCAUGAAAACAUGAUUACAAUUUUGUAUAUAGAUGUUUCCAUUCUCUAUUCUGUGUAUGUUUUUACAGAAAAAUACCACAGAUGAAUUAUAUCAGAUAUGUUACGGGUACAGCUGGGUGUGCGCUAUUAGCAUUAGUAAGUUUCAUUAUAUGAAUUCCAAAUUAUAAAUAGAAGAAGAUGUGGUAUGAUCAUCAAUUAAAUCAUAAAAUGAUUAAAGGCCAAAUGAUUUUAAAAUUAGUAAAAUUUCAGCAUGUUUGCAUAAAUUAGACUUUCAGUUGUUACAUUUAAAAACACAAAUUUCAAGCUUUUCUCCAGACUACAGACUGAAACAGAUUCUCUUAUUUAGUAAGGAUUAUAUGUGUAUUAUAAUGUAAAGAUAAUAGGAAGCUUUAAGUUAACAUUUUGUGAUCUUGUAUAGGCUCUAUUGUCAGAGAAGUUGUUUUGAGACAUAAACCCUCUGGUUCAAUAUGUCUAAAUUUUACACACUAUUUAUAAAUUACACAGGAUUGAUAGUCAAGCUUAGAAUGUCACAUGGAAUAAUUCUUUGUGUACUAAUUGUUCCUGCCAAAAAAGUGUCCUUUUUAUAAAAUUGAACAACUUAAUUCAUUAAACUUAGUACAAUGUCGUAUAAACAGUAAGAAAAGUGGCUUUGACUGAAAACUGAUUCCCAAUGGAACCAAAUGAGAUUUGUUUUUGCUACAAAAUCUGAAAAAUAGAGUAAAUUUUAUCAAUGCAUAUAAGAAAAUUUGGCAUGAUUGCGGAUGAGACCAUUUUCCUUGAGAGAUUAAAUGACAAAGAAAUUUACAUCUUUCUGUCACCAUACACUCUUCAACAAUGAGUAAAACUUUAACCCAUACUGCAUGGAUAGCUACAAAAGGUAUAACAUCUUUGAUUGAAAAAUUUGACCAAAUUUAAAACAUUUUCUAUGAAUAAGUAAUUUUAAUUUACCAAUUGACCCAUUGAACCAUUAACCCUUUACUAUGAAGUAAUAUAUAAAGCGUCUGCAUCAGAAAUGUAUAGGGAAAUGAGCUUAUGAAAAUCUUUUAAAUGUAAGGAAGUUAUUAUUAACAUGAUAUUUUAUUUCAGUUUUCUUCUUUUUGAUUCUUUUUCCUAUAGUUUAAGAGCAUAUUAAAUUUUAAUAUAAAAUUGAUAUUUUAUUUCAGUUUUCUACUUUUUGAUUCUUUUUCUAUAUUUUUAAGAGCAUAUUAAAUUUUAAUAUUAACAUGAUAUUUUAUUUCAGUUUUCUUCUUUUUGAUGUUACCUUUCUGGGUUAUUAAUGUGGUGAAGAGAGACAGCGUGUUAGAUCCCAGAAUGAGAACAGGUGUAUGUUAUGAACCAGUCAGUUGUUGUUCCUGUCUUUGGCAUGUCUAGUGACAAAAUAGAGGAAAGAAACAACAGAUGAGGCAUUUAAGUCAGCCGUGUUUUCACUGAAAUUUGCAAUAAUAAUUUAAGAUAUCUGUGUAAUUAUGUUUUAUAAGAAUUUGGGAAAAUUCAAGGAAAAUCAUGAAGUUUUGUAUAGCCAUCAUGAUAUAAGAAUUGAUAAGACUAUACUAGUAUUUUAAGGCACCCUUGAUGUACUUUGUGAGAAUGUAUUUUCAUUCAAACUCUUGAUUUUUGUCAUUUGCAAGUACAUUGUAAUUAAAUGAGGGAGUGCAUACAAGAACUAACCAGAUCAUUUGCCAUUGUAAUGUAUAAUCAAUAAAUCCUGUUUAAUGAAUAACCAGUUCAUGAUUAUGAUCAAUGCUCUAGCUCACAGUUCUGUUACAGAUUUAUAUUGGUGUAAAAAUAAAGAUAUUUUUUAUUUUAUUUUCCUAAAAUGGAAUUGAAUAUUUUUAAAAGUAUUUCAAAGACUUUUCAGUUCAGACUUUGAGAAUGGCAAUAUUUUCAAAUCAAAAUUUUUUUAAAUUUUUUAUAUUUUCAUCUAAUAUAGAUAUUUAGCAUUUCAUUAUAUAACCACAUUCAGUAUAUGCAAUUUGCGGCCUUGGAUUUGUUCAUAUUGUAAUCACUGUAUGACUAUUUUUUUUUUAAUGUAAAACAUAAUUGAGAAAUUAGCAUUCCAUUAUUUUACAUUUUAUUGUAGUCUAACUUAGUAUCCUAUCAUAUGCUUAUUGAGCAUCCAUUGUACAUUGUUUUCUUCCAUAUAAUACUCUAUUUUUGAAUAAGUUAAAAAUUUUAAAAACAUUUUGUGCAAUGCUAAUUGAUGUCAUUUAAUGUUUUGCCCUUUACUUUAGAUAUAUGUCAAAAUCUUUUAAAUAAAAAACAAGAUUAUGUCUAACACUAUCACAUUUGCAUGUCUGGUUAACCACAGAGUCUAGAUCAAAACCAUAAGUUGGCAUACAUAAUAAAGUACGUAAAACCUAACUUUGACCUUAAUGUGGGAUAGAAGGAUGCGUGUACCAUUAAUUAUAAUGCCCUUAUUUUAAACAUAUUUAUUUAUAGUGGAUUGGGAAACAAUUUAUUGGAACUUAUAUUAAUCCCUCUCUACUUUGUGGGUGGGAGUGCUGCCUUGUAGUAUCAUUAGCCUGGUCUUUUUCGAAAUCUACAAGGGUGUCUUUUACAUGCAAGAGAUAUGGCUCUCUUAACAUAGGUCAUCCAUUUAUCAUCCCCUUCUGACAGACUAUCAUCGUUUCCUCUAGACCAUAUCCCUUGUUAUAAUAGGUAUGGUAAAAAUAAGAAAAUCAAAUGAUAACAAUUUAUUCCAAAUUAGCACUUUUUUCAAGCAAGUUAGUAUUUUUUUUAAAGUACAACAAAAAAGAGAAUAGUGGGCCAAAAAAAAUAAAGAAUACAAAAAAUGUGUGCCCAAAAUUGAAAAACAGGAAACUUAGGGGAUGCUGAUUCAAGAGAUAAAAGAACAGAGAAUUAUUGAUAGAUUUAAAAAAAAAAAAAAUUUGCCUUUGCAUGUUCCAGUAAAAGAUGUUUGUAAUAAUGUUGAAUUAAUAAAGACCAGUCUAGUAUCUGUUUAAGUAAUAAUAUACUGUAGUAUCUGUUGUCUGUUGACUCUGUUCAAUGCUUACAAUGCUUCUUUGUAAAUUGUUUGUCUUUAGUUUGAUGUUUACCUCACAAAUUGCAAUAAUUAUUCAGCAAGUUCUUUCUGUUCCUUUAUAAUUAUCAGGAAUAAGGAUUGUCAUUUGAGAUGAUCUUGUAACAAUCAACAUUCAUGUGUAUAAAGUUUUCGGAAUAUGUUAUGGUACAUUUUAAUAUAUAUUUGUUAUUAACUGUAGAUUACAAUACCUCCAGCUGGACUGGAGAUUUAUCUAUUAAAAUUUAUAAAUAAAAGAAUCUAUAUGAAC